Molecule: long non-coding RNA, 2328 nt
Organism: Phyllostomus discolor (pale spear-nosed bat)
Lineage: Eukaryota; Metazoa; Chordata; Mammalia; Chiroptera; Phyllostomidae
Exons: 2
Source: RefSeq, a predicted model, not a curated record
UAAAUUAACUUUCCUUAACUCAAAGCUGUACUAACAAUGUUAAACGUUGGGUUUUCUGGAGGAAUUCUCAAGAAUUUGCAUACAUUCCUAGCUCAGUGUUUGCCAUUGAGUAGGCACAAGCGAAUGGUGGUACACAGUCUACAGCCUAUGAUGAUAGAGCAGAUACAGGCAAAAGAGGUAAUACCAAGAAAAGAGUGAUACAUUCUUUCACGUAUCCCCUGGAUAAUUUCCAAGGCUGGGAAAGAGCUAAAUAGGUGGUCAUGGCAAACAAUGACAACCAUAGCAAGGGAAAAGGAGUGUGAAAGGCACGAAGACACCAGAGAAUGGAGAACGUUUAUGGAAUUGCAAUUCUAAAGUGAUAGUGGGCAGAGGAGUUAAGCAAGAGUAUAUAGUGUAGGGGCUGAACUCUGAACAAUCUUUAGAUUGACAUUUGAGAGAGAUUACUAUUACUCUCCUCAUUAGAGUCCAAUGUUUUCCAACCAUGGCAAGUUGCUUGGACUGAAGUUCUGGAGUAGCGUCCUACAAAGCACAUUCAAGGCACAACAGGUAAACUCCUUUCAGCUAAAGAGGUUUGUUAGUGCACAAUGCAGGUUAUAACUGGAAAGGUAAGUUGGCAUGAAUUUAUAGGGUAGAAUUUCUUAAACUGAAGAAAAAUAGGCAAAACCUCAGUCUGGGUGUUAAGCUGAUUGAUAUUUUUAAUAAAGUUAACCAUAAAGCUAAUAUUUUAGAAACAAUAUGCUCAGUAAAUAAUUUUAUUGCUAUUAUCAAAAUCAUUGAAUAAAAAUGAAGCAAUUCUAAAGUAAAAAUACGAUAUAAUAGCAUUUUAAUUGACCUAAUUAAGCCCACAUGGUUAAAACCUGAAGUGUUUCAACUGAGUAUAAUCUCUGAAGAAAUUAGCAUAUUAAUUUUAACAUAAUUAUAAUCAUAACACUUCAAAUGUUAUGAAUUCAAGGGUCAGAUAUGUAUUAUAAAGAAAAUAAUAAUUUGAUAAACUGAAUAAUUAAAAUUAAAUAACUUUGUAGUCUUCUAGAAAUGUUUAAAUUUUGAUAAAUUACUAAUAAAAGACUUAUAUUUCACUUUUGAGAUAUUUCCAGCUUUGAGCUGCAUUUCAAGUAAUUCUGAGCACAUUAAACAAUUUAGGAUGUUGGUUUUUUUAGUCAGUGCACAAAACAAGUCUAAUGUUUCUACUUUGGUAUGCAUACUUUUGAAAGAUUCUGGAUUAUUUUCAGCCAGGGGACAUCCAUAACCUAACACAAUAGACCAGUUUCUGUGAGAGGCACACUCUAAAAUUUCAGUGGUUUUACCAAAUAGAAGUCUAUCCUCAUUCUUGUCUAUAAGACAAAAGCACAUACCCAAGUAGAUUGCUCUCCUCCAAGUGAUGGGUCAGGGACCCAAGCUCCUUCUGUGUUAUGGCUCCACCAUCUUCCAUAAGUGACUGUCAAGAUCAUUGCAGAGGUUGCCUGUGUUGGAAGAUUGCAUGCAGAAAAUUUGUGUGAGCCUCUCUGAAAGUAUCAGAGGAGAAUAUUCACUCAUAUCCUCCUGGCCAGAACUCAGGCACGGGGCCACUCCCAGAAAUCUGGUAAGUGCAUGCUAGCCCCAUGCACAGAAGGAAGUAAAAGCAGGAGGUGGCGAAGAGCUUCCAAUCACCAGCUACUCCUGAGGAAAGGAGUUCAAGUACAUGGAGCCUACCGGUGCCAGGCAGGGCUGAUAGGCAUGUCUGCUCCUAUGACUUCAGUUAAUUUUCACUGCAAGCUUACAAAGUAGGCAACAGUUCAAGGAUCUGCUUAGCAAGGGUUAUUUCAACAUUUCAAAACCAGAAUCCAGUUUGAGGUCUAUCAGAUUGUGUCAUCUUGAGGUUGAGUAUCAGCACGGCUUAGCAGCCCAGCAUUCCUGACCCACACCCCCAGCUCUGCAGUUUACCAGUUGUGUGACACUGUGUAUGUUAAAUAAUUUACCUAGGCUUUAACAUUUUUAUUGAUAAACUUAGACUAUUCCUUUUCCUGUUCUGUUUUUCCUGGAACAGACUCAAUGCUCACUAAUUGACAGAUAGAACUUAUAUUUGUCUUUACAAUUGUAUGAUUUGUGAUGUUUCUCAUACUAUCAAACCCACUGAUACCUAUUCUAUAAUUAACUGAUGAAAUAAAUUUGGCUUGUUAUGAAUUAUGACAUAAGGAGAUUAUAGUAUAAAAUGUGCAUUUAAUACUUGACAAUGAGUAUCAGCCAAGGGCAGUGAGUCCAGAUAUCCUUUGAACAUAGUUCCUUAUGGAGAUGAUAAUUAAACUGUGUACAUGAUAGAAAACUUGUGUCUGAAUAACUGCUAAGUAAGCU